This is a long non-coding RNA of Myotis brandtii (Brandt's bat), 518 nucleotides long. RefSeq lists it as uncharacterized. The record is from RefSeq and is a predicted model, not a curated record. The transcript has 3 exons. NCBI's taxonomy places the organism in Eukaryota, Metazoa, Chordata, Mammalia, Chiroptera, Vespertilionidae.
GUCAGCUGUGCCUUUAGACCAGAACUUGCUUCCAUGAUGGGAACACACCACAUCUGAACCAUCCGGCGCCUGGAAUGAGGCACUCCAAGGCUUGGGGGUGGCUUCCAGACGGGGGUCAGGGGCUCGGCCCCUCCUAUAGGUUAUUCCACAUCCUCAGUACCGACUCCUUCCUCAUGGUCCAGAAUGGCUGCUCCAGCCCAGGCCUCGGGUCACAUUCCAGCUGGCAACAAGGAGGAAGAAAGGCAAGGGGAGCCAGGCCUCUCCUUCUAAGGACACGGCCCUGCCUGCGACUUUGAAGCCCCUGCAGCGCAAGGAAAUGGUCCCCAAGGCCUGGACGGACGUGGAGCGGAGGGAGACCGGAGGUCAGGGAGCCGCCAGGGACAGGCCUGCAGCCCUCCUGCAGCUGAGGGCGCAGUCACAGACACUGCCAUCCUCUGCACCCGGCUCCGGGUGAGCCGAUUCCCGGGCAAUGUUUCUCUUUCAAGGAUGUUUCUCUCUCCCCCUUCUCUCUCUCUCUC